RNAcentral lists this ribosomal RNA (1147 nucleotides) under Triticum aestivum (bread wheat). RNAcentral describes it as "partial small subunit ribosomal RNA". Lineage: Eukaryota; Viridiplantae; Streptophyta; Magnoliopsida; Poales; Poaceae. The record is from RNAcentral.
AUGGAGUCGCUUGCCUCGCAAGCGAAGCCGGCUGCCGUGCUCUGGCUCGCCGGCUUCCUCCAGGCCGCGCGUCUGCACCGCGUCGUCUCCUUCUGCGUCAGCUUGCUAACCUUGAAAUCAGUGGUCAUUCCAACUCUUCUAUGGAUACUGCCCGAGCAAUGCGAUCAAUCAUGGGGACAACAUCUAUGUGAUCACACAACAGCUGUUGCCUUGUAUUCGUUCUUACGUUCGGGGCUUGUCGAGAUUUUCUAUGUAUUUUGGUUUUAUCCCCUCUACAUCUUCAGCUUUAUAAUAAGUACACUUUGGUAUGGUGACAUUGCUAAGCAUGCUUUGGCUGUUGUGAAAAGUAAGAAGCUGGAUGCAAGUCAAGCAUCUGACUCUGACCCUCACAGCACAUCUGUAUCAGCAGAUAGGCCUGAAGGAUUUGAUGGGGUUGCGAUUGGUGUUGGAGAGCAGGUCUAUUCGAUACUUCUUUUGACUAUUUUCUUUGCUGAGGUUACAGUGAUUGGUUACAUACCUUACCUUGGUAAGGCAAUGAACUUCAUGUUACUGUCUUUGAUGUAUGCCUACUACUGCUUCGAGUACAAGUGGAACUUCUUUGCAGUGAGCCUGAACCACCGGCUUGAUUUCUUUGAGUCAAAUUGGGCUUUCUUUGCCGGAUUUGGUAGUCCAUGUGUACUUCCGAUUUUCUUCUUCUCUCCUCUUACAAGUUAUGGUGUGAUGGCAAUACUAUACCCACUGUUUGUCAUGACAGCUGCUGGUACACAAGAAGAGCAAACCAUUGAUGAACUGAAAUCUUUGCAUGGAGGGAAACUGAAUAGAAUACCCUUGUUCUUUGUCGCGAAGCGACUAACGACGCAAGCGCUGCAGUUGUUCCCAGAGGCACAAAAGGAGCAAUGAGUGGUCCACAUAAUCACAUGAACUCAGAGGUGCAUAGUUCUCAUGUUGAAGCUGCAUCUGAGAGGUGCAUAGUUCACGAGAAAGCGUGGCUGCUCAUGUGUGCCACGCCCCAAUGUAAAUAGUCUGUACCAUUGCCGCUGUACAUAUACAUAUAUUGGGCCAAUAAAAAAGAAACUAUGGUUGUCCACGAGAUACAUGCUGCAAUUGAAGAAGGAAAUAUACAAACAUACUGUCUACAAUGUUGAUC